Molecule: unclassified non-coding RNA, 300 nt
Organism: Macaca fascicularis (crab-eating macaque)
Lineage: Eukaryota; Metazoa; Chordata; Mammalia; Primates; Cercopithecidae
Rfam family: Metazoan signal recognition particle RNA
About the family: The signal recognition particle (SRP) is a universally conserved ribonucleoprotein.
Source: Ensembl
GCCGGGCGCGGUGGCGCGUGCCUGUAGUCCCAGCUACUCGGGAGGCUGAGGCUUGAGGAUCCCUUGAGUUCAGGAGUUCUGGGCUGUAGUGCGCUAUGCCGAUCGGGUGUCCGCACUAAGUUCGGCAUCAAUAUGGUGACCUCCCGGGAGCGGGGGACCACCAGGUUGCCUAAGGAGGGGUGAACCGGCCCAGGUCGGAAACGGAGCAGGUCAAAACUCCCGUGCUGAUCAGUAGUGGGAUCGCGCCUGUGAAUAGCCACAGCACUCCAGCCUGGGCAACAUAGUGAGACCCUGCCUCUU